GAUGAACGCUGGCGGCGGGCUUAACACAUGCAAGUCGAACGGAAGCGCGCGGCUUGCGUGCAGUGCUCGAGUGGGGCCGGCGCGAGUAAGAGGAGAGCAUCUCGACCCUGCCCUUCGGAUAACUUCAGGCAACCGGGGCUAAGACCGGAUAGGAGCUCCUGCCAUUUGGGGGGGGCGGGAAAGAUGCGGCGGUUGGGGAUGGACUCGGGGGAUACCAGCGAGUUGGUGGGGUAGUGGCUUACGAAGGCUUUGACGGGUAGCCGGCCUGAGAGGGUGACCGGGCACAUGGGGACAGAGAUACGGCCCGGAGUCCUACGGGAGGUAGCAGAAGGGAAUUUUGCACAAUGCGCGGAAGCCGGGUGCAGCAACGCCGCGUGCGGGAUGGUAGCCUGCGUGUUGGAAACCGCUUUCUGCUGUGACGAAGGGUUUGUGACGGUAAUGGAUGAAGAAGCACCGGCUAACUACGUG
RNAcentral lists this ribosomal RNA (468 nucleotides) under uncultured bacterium. RNAcentral's name for it is "partial 16S ribosomal RNA". It matches the Rfam family "Bacterial small subunit ribosomal RNA", at positions 28 to 507 of the family's 1533-position model. The record is from RNAcentral.